UUAAGCGACUAAGCGUACACGGUGGAUGCCCUGGCAGUCAGAGGCGAUGAAGGACGUGCUAAUCUGCGAUAAGCGUCGGUAAGGUGAUAUGAACCGUUAUAACCGGCGAUUUCCGAAUGGGGAAACCCAGUGUGUUUCGACACACUAUCAUUAACUGAAUCCAUAGGUUAAUGAGGCGAACCGGGGGAACUGAAACAUCUAAGUACCCCGAGGAAAAGAAAUCAACCGAGAUUCCCCCAGUAGCGGCGAGCGAACGGGGAGGAGCCCAGAGCCUGAAUCAGUGUGUGUGUUAGUGGAAGCGUCUGGAAAGGCGCGCGAUACAGGGUGACAGCCCCGUACACAAAAAUGCACAUGCUGUGAGCUCGAUGAGUAGGGCGGGACACGUGGUAUCCUGUCUGAAUAUGGGGGGACCAUCCUCCAAGGCUAAAUACUCCUGACUGACCGAUAGUGAACCAGUACCGUGAGGGAAAGGCGAAAAGAACCCCGGCGAGGGGAGUGAAAAAGAACCUGAAACCGUGUACGUACAAGCAGUGGGAGCCUCUUUUAUGGGGUGACUGCGUACCUUUUGUAUAAUGGGUCAGCGACUUAUAUUCUGUAGCAAGGUUAACCGAAUAGGGGAGCCGAAGGGAAACCGAGUCUUAACUGGGCGUUAAGUUGCAGGGUAUAGACCCGAAACCCGGUGAUCUAGCCAUGGGCAGGUUGAAGGUUGGGUAACACUAACUGGAGGACCGAACCGACUAAUGUUGAAAAAUUAGCGGAUGACUUGUGGCUGGGGGUGAAAGGCCAAUCAAACCGGGAGAUAGCUGGUUCUCCCCGAAAGCUAUUUAGGUAGCGCCUCGUGAAUUCAUCUCCGGGGGUAGAGCACUGUUUCGGCAAGGGGGUCAUCCCGACUUACCAACCCGAUGCAAACUGCGAAUACCGGAGAAUGUUAUCACGGGAGACACACGGCGGGUGCUAACGUCCGUCGUGAAGAGGGAAACAACCCAGACCGCCAGCUAAGGUCCCAAAGUCAUGGUUAAGUGGGAAACGAUGUGGGAAGGCCCAGACAGCCAGGAUGUUGGCUUAGAAGCAGCCAUCAUUUAAAGAAAGCGUAAUAGCUCACUGGUCGAGUCGGCCUGCGCGGAAGAUGUAACGGGGCUAAACCAUGCACCGAAGCUGCGGCAGCGAGGCUUAUGCGUUGUUGGGUAGGGGAGCGUUCUGUAAGCCUGUGAAGGUGUGCUGUGAGGCAUGCUGGAGGUAUCAGAAGUGCGAAUGCUGACAUAAGUAACGAUAAAGCGGGUGAAAAGCCCGCUCGCCGGAAGACCAAGGGUUCCUGUCCAACGUUAAUCGGGGCAGGGUGAGUCGACCCCUAAGGCGAGGCCGAAAGGCGUAGUCGAUGGGAAACAGGUUAAUAUUCCUGUACUUGGUGUUACUGCGAAGGGGAGACGGAGAAGGCUAUGUUGGCCGGGCGACGGUUGUCCCGGUUUAAGCGUGUAGGCUGGUUUUCCAGGCAAAUCCGGAAAAUCAAGGCUGAGGCGUGAUGACGAGGCACUACGGUGCUGAAGCAACAAAUGCCCUGCUUCCAGGAAAAGCCUCUAAGCAUCAGGUAACAUCAAAUCGUACCCCAAACCGACACAGGUGGUCAGGUAGAGAAUACCAAGGCGCUUGAGAGAACUCGGGUGAAGGAACUAGGCAAAAUGGUGCCGUAACUUCGGGAGAAGGCACGCUGAUAUGUAGGUGAAGCGACUUGCUCGUGGAGCUGAAAUCAGUCGAAGAUACCAGCUGGCUGCAACUGUUUAUUAAAAACACAGCACUGUGCAAACACGAAAGUGGACGUAUACGGUGUGACGCCUGCCCGGUGCCGGAAGGUUAAUUGAUGGGGUCAGCGCAAGCGAAGCUCUUGAUCGAAGCCCCGGUAAACGGCGGCCGUAACUAUAACGGUCCUAAGGUAGCGAAAUUCCUUGUCGGGUAAGUUCCGACCUGCACGAAUGGCGUAAUGAUGGCCAGGCUGUCUCCACCCGAGACUCAGUGAAAUUGAACUCGCUGUGAAGAUGCAGUGUACCCGCGGCAAGACGGAAAGACCCCGUGAACCUUUACUAUAGCUUGACACUGAACAUUGAGCCUUGAUGUGUAGGAUAGGUGGGAGGCUUUGAAGUGUGGACGCCAGUCUGCAUGGAGCCGACCUUGAAAUACCACCCUUUAAUGUUUGAUGUUCUAACGUUGACCCGUAAUCCGGGUUGCGGACAGUGUCUGGUGGGUAGUUUGACUGGGGCGGUCUCCUCCUAAAGAGUAACGGAGGAGCACGAAGGUUGGCUAAUCCUGGUCGGACAUCAGGAGGUUAGUGCAAUGGCAUAAGCCAGCUUGACUGCGAGCGUGACGGCGCGAGCAGGUGCGAAAGCAGGUCAUAGUGAUCCGGUGGUUCUGAAUGGAAGGGCCAUCGCUCAACGGAUAAAAGGUACUCCGGGGAUAACAGGCUGAUACCGCCCAAGAGUUCAUAUCGACGGCGGUGUUUGGCACCUCGAUGUCGGCUCAUCACAUCCUGGGGCUGAAGUAGGUCCCAAGGGUAUGGCUGUUCGCCAUUUAAAGUGGUACGCGAGCUGGGUUUAGAACGUCGUGAGACAGUUCGGUCCCUAUCUGCCGUGGGCGCUGGAGAACUGAGGGGGGCUGCUCCUAGUACGAGAGGACCGGAGUGGACGCAUCACUGGUGUUCGGGUUGUCAUGCCAAUGGCACUGCCCGGUAGCUAAAUGCGGAAGAGAUAAGUGCUGAAAGCAUCUAAGCACGAAACUUGCCCCGAGAUGAGUUCUCCCUGACUCCUUGAGAGUCCUGAAGGAACGUUGAAGACGACGACGUUGAUAGGCCGGGUGUGUAAGCGCAGCGAUGCGUUGAGCUAACCGGUACUAAUGAACCGUGAGGCUUAACCUU
Molecule: ribosomal RNA, 2902 nt
Filed under: Escherichia coli O6:H16
Lineage: Bacteria; Pseudomonadati; Pseudomonadota; Gammaproteobacteria; Enterobacterales; Enterobacteriaceae
Description: bacterial LSU rRNA
Rfam family: Bacterial large subunit ribosomal RNA
Source: RNAcentral